CACAGCUGUCACGUAAAUAUGGAAAUCCCUCUGCUGAUCACCGCACCAUGGGUGUAAUGAGGAAGAAAUAGGCUGCCAUGCCAGCUCCAAAACCAGUUAAAACAGCCAGGAAAAUGAGUGGCCAAACAGAGACAUGAACAGGGGGCUUGAAGUAGACUCUCCAAAGAUACCCUCACAAAGAAAAUCUCCAGGACACAAAAGUCUAUUUUUCUCUCAGUGAACAUCGAAUCAAGGAAACAGAUUUUUCUUUACUGUUCCAGCCUGAUUGCUGAGGAAUGCA
Poecile atricapillus (Black-capped chickadee) is the source of this 280-nucleotide long non-coding RNA. RefSeq lists it as uncharacterized. The record is from RefSeq and is a predicted model, not a curated record. Lineage: Eukaryota; Metazoa; Chordata; Aves; Passeriformes; Paridae. The transcript has 3 exons.